UCAGUACAUGUGCCAUCUUCAUUACUGG
RNAcentral lists this non-coding RNA (28 nucleotides) under Rattus norvegicus (Norway rat). Lineage: Eukaryota; Metazoa; Chordata; Mammalia; Rodentia; Muridae. The record is from RNAcentral.